AGUUACCAGAAUGGCAGCUUCCGGAGCUGAUUGACACUUUUGCAGAUUGCACAGGAGUUCGAGGUCCUUCAUAAAGAGGCAUCAGACUAAAUGUUUGACCUGGAGGAGGUUCAGAGAGAAGCUUCUUCAUGUGGCCCAGCGAGCUCCACGUGCAGACACGGUCUUUGUCACAAGGCUCCAAAGACUACAUUGCCCUGAUGGUUCUACCAAGCCUGAUGCCACCUGCAGUCUUUAGGAUGGGCCUGGAAGACCGUGAGGACUACAGUGUCUAACGCCAUGAAGGCCUUCAUCGAUCUUAAGCCUGUCGGAACAAACAUGGUGGAGUACCUUCAGGCAGCAGACCAGACCAGGCCGUACCCCUACACCCUGGUGUUGGGAGGUGAGGAGUGCUGCUCACAGCCAUUCACCGUUCUCAGUGGGCCGGCCCUGGAGCAGGACAGCGUUGUCCAAGCUGUACAUGUUUGUUUCAAAAGUUUUUAUGUGUUCGAUAUCAAUUUCCCAAAUCAUGUUUCUCUGCUUGGCAGUUCCUCCAGGAGGCUGUCUAUGGAAUGGGGGGGGAGGGGGGGUAAUGUGGCCCCAUGCGUUUGUGUUUUGGAAAUGCUCAUGUGAUA
Long non-coding RNA from Sander lucioperca (pikeperch), 611 nucleotides. RefSeq lists it as uncharacterized. The record is from RefSeq and is a predicted model, not a curated record. NCBI's taxonomy places the organism in Eukaryota, Metazoa, Chordata, Actinopteri, Perciformes, Percidae. The transcript is spliced from 4 exons.